CGGAGGGUGCAAGCGUUAUCCGGAUUUAUUGGGUUUAAAGGGUCCGUAGGCGGAUCCGUAAGUCAGUGGUGAAAUCUCACAGCUUAACUGUGAAACUGCCAUUGAUACUGCGGGUCUUGAGUAAGGUAGAAGUGGCUGGAAUAAGUAGUGUAGCGGUGAAAUGCAUAGAUAUUACUUAGAACACCAAUUGCGAAGGCAGGUCACUAUGUCUUAACUGACGCUGAUGGACGAAAGCGUGGGGAGCGAACAGGAUUAGAUACCCUGGUAGUCCACGCCGUAAACGAUGCUAACUCGUUUUUGGGCUUUCGGGUUCAGAGACUAAGCGAAAGUGAUAAGUUAGCCACCUGUGGAGUACGUUCGCAAGAAUG
This 368-nucleotide ribosomal RNA is filed under the name uncultured organism. RNAcentral describes it as "bacterial SSU rRNA". It matches the Rfam family "Bacterial small subunit ribosomal RNA", at positions 526 to 896 of the family's 1533-position model. The record is from RNAcentral.